GCGGGCUAUCCGCUUCGCGGACCGGCCGUCCCGUCGGACCGAUUACGGAAAAUUCGAGGCGAAAGCCUCGCGUUUCAGCGCGGGGAGGAUGUCAAGCC
This 98-nucleotide unclassified non-coding RNA is filed under the name Halorubrum sodomense. RNAcentral describes it as "HgcC family RNA". The record is from RNAcentral. Lineage: Archaea; Methanobacteriati; Methanobacteriota; Halobacteria; Halobacteriales; Haloferacaceae.